RNAcentral lists this ribosomal RNA (429 nucleotides) under Chloroflexota bacterium. RNAcentral's name for it is "Chloroflexi bacterium partial 16S ribosomal RNA". It matches the Rfam family "Bacterial small subunit ribosomal RNA", at positions 355 to 776 of the family's 1533-position model. The record is from RNAcentral. Lineage: Bacteria; Bacillati; Chloroflexota.
UGGGGAAUAUUGCACAAUGGGCGCAAGCCUGAUGCAGCCAUGCCGCGUGUAUGAAGAAGGCCUUCGGGUUGUAAAGUACUUUCAGUCGGGAGGAAGGUGGUAAGGUUAAUAACCUUGGCAAUUGACGUUACCGACAGAAGAAGCACCGGCUAACUCCGUGCCAGCGGCCGCGGUAAUACGGAGGGUGCAAGCGUUAAUCGGAAUUACUGGGCGUAAAGCGCACGCAGGCGGUUGAUUGAGUCAGAUGUGAAAUCCCCGGGCUUAACCCGGGAAUUGCAUCUGAUACUGGUCAGCUAGAGUCUUGUAGAGGGGGGUAGAAUUCCAUGUGUAGCGGUGAAAUGCGUAGAGAUGUGGAGGAAUACCGGUGGCGAAGGCGGCCCCCUGGACAAAGACUGACGCUCAGGUGCGAAAGCGUGGGGAGCAAACAGG